Molecule: ribosomal RNA, 456 nt
Filed under: uncultured Methanomicrobiales archaeon
Lineage: Archaea; Methanobacteriati; Methanobacteriota; Methanomicrobia; Methanomicrobiales
Description: bacterial SSU rRNA
Rfam family: Archaeal small subunit ribosomal RNA
Source: RNAcentral
AACAGGUGGAGCCUGCGGUUUAAUCGGACUCAACGCCGGGAAACUCACCAGAUAAGACAGCUGAAUGAUAGUCGGGCUGAAGACUCUACUUGACUAGCUGAGAGGAGGUGCAUGGCCGUCGUCAGUUCGUACUGUGAAGCAUCCUGUUAAGUCAGGCAACGAGCGAGACCCACGCCAACAGUUGCCAGCUCGUCCUCCGGGAUGGUGGGGACACUGUUGGGACCGCCUCUGCUAAAGAGGAGGAAGGAAUGGGCAACGGUAGGUCAGCAUGCCCCGAAUUAUCUGGGCUACACGCGGGCUACAAUGGGUGGGACAAUGGGUAUCGACACCGAGAGGUGAAGGCAAUCUCCUAAACCCAUCCGUAGUUCGGAUUGUGGGCUGCAACUCGCCCACAUGAAGCUGGAAUCCGUAGUAAUCGCGUUUCAACAGAACGCGGUGAAUACGUCCCUGCUCCUU